CACAGGUGGCUGCAUUUCAGUGCCUAGGUGAAGCGAGUCUAUUUCAUCUUUCAGCCGAAGUGAGUACUAAACAUAACAUAGGGCUCUUCUAUUUCCACAGGCUAUUAACCUUCCAAAACAUUCACCUCGGAGGCUAAACUUCGCAGUACUUCAGCUUCAAUUCUGAGAAAUGUCUCUAUUCCACAACAACAUGAUAAGUGAGAGUGAAUUAAGUCCCUUGUGCACCAAAUGGUUUGAGCAAUACCUCUUCAUCCAUCUUUAAAUAACAAGAGAAUGGCAAUAAGAGACGUGAUCUGACUGAACUUCUCUCUAUGAAAGCAUUUUAAAUUAUUG
RNAcentral lists this long non-coding RNA (333 nucleotides) under Coturnix japonica (Japanese quail). RNAcentral's name for it is "lncRNA (ENSCJPG00005020949.1)". Lineage: Eukaryota; Metazoa; Chordata; Aves; Galliformes; Phasianidae. The record is from RNAcentral.